UUUGUUUAACACUUUUUUGGUUACUUCAUGAUUCCAUAUGUGUUAUUUCAUAGUUUUGAUGUCUUCACUAUUAUUCUACAAUGUAGAAAAUAGUAAAAAUAAAAAACCCUGAAUGAGUAGGUGUGUCCAAACUUUUGACUGGUUCUGUAUUUCAAGUGCUACUUAAAGGGGUGGCUAUAUUUAGUUGUUCAGAUAUUUUUACCCUCCUAUUUGCUCAUAUAGUCCCAUACCUUCCAUGAAGGGUCUGCCAAGUCAGUAGGUCGGUUUUCCGGUCCGCCCACGUGUUGCCUUGGUGAUGCCGUUUUUCCUAGCAGUGGAAUGUCAGGAUUGUGACCUUGGUCUGAGGAACGUGUUGCAAGAUCAGAGCCUGUGCUGUCUCACACAAGCUCAGUCGUCGAGCCCCACGUCUGGAGACAACCCCUUGGGAAAAAUACCAGAGAGCUCAAGUUUCUUAGAGAGGAAAGACAGAGAAGAAGCUUUCGGGUUAGAAAAAAUGUUGUUUUUCUCUUUCCUUCUCUCUCCAAGGCUCUCCCCCUCCUCUCCCCUACACCCAUCCAGCUUCUAAAGUAUGCAGUACAGUAUAUUGUGUCAAUAUUGGAGUCUGUUCAAAUUAAGAAAGGAAGUGUUGCAUUCUUUUCAGUGCUGUUUAUUAAAACCACAAAAACAAUCACACUGUAAAUAAUGUAAUUUAGUAGGUGAAACAUUUGUUUGACAGGGUACAAAAAUUCAUGUCACACCACAUUAACCACAGAGCUAAUGUGUUGAGUGUUCUGUCCUUUCUUGCAGACCACACGCAGAGUUAAAGAGGAGAUAAAAGAGACCCAGAGUGGUUCCGACUGGGCCCAGAGUGAAAGAAGGAACAGAAGGUCCAGUUCAUUUACCACAAGGUAUGUAGUCCACCAGUGGAUUUGCAUAGCAAUGAGUGAGGAGAGACACUUUGGAAUCAUCCCUGUUUGAAAUAUUAUAUUUUUUCACGUGGUUUUCAGACAAUGUUUCAUAUGUACAUUUUUCACAUGGGUUUUUCCCUGGUAAAUGUUUUGCCCCCCACGUGACUUAUUUUUACCUCACACUUAUUUUGCAUCACUUCCAGCUACGUCUGGUUUCCCAUCCAGGGCUGACCAGGACCACCCCUUCUUAGCUUCAAAGGCAAAUCUGCAGUGGGAUGCCUCUGUGUUAUGUUGCUGGAAUGAAUAUGUUGAAACUUGCAACUGGAAAAAAGGCAAUGAACGCAAAGGCCAGGGUAACAACCAAAGAUAGGAAAAUUGCAAGAAAGAGGGAGGCAUUUUAUUUAAUUGUGUUAUCAGAAAAAUAAAAAAAUCACUGAAAGAAACAUUUUUGCAUCCAUCUACAAUUCAUUUGUUCUCGCAUUGAACAAUUAUUUCCUUGCAAUAUUUUGUUUUGCUAUCAAUACUUUUGGGUUCAUGUUUAAAUUUCAAUAUCAUUCUUGUUUGUAGUACUAAGAAUUUUGUUCUCGACUUCAGAAGUUUUGCUUAAUAUUAAUGGCACAAAAGUAACUCACUCACUAGAGGAUUGCACCAUACAAUAACACUAUUACUAAACGUGUUUAAAGCAGCUAUCCUUAAUUGAAACAUUAACAAAGUGUCUUCUCCGCCACAGUUUCAGUAAAAAUCUAAGAGAUGGGGCUGGAGAAAUGAAACCACUCUCAAAUCUAUAAAGUGCG
Molecule: long non-coding RNA, 1681 nt
Filed under: Oncorhynchus kisutch (coho salmon)
Lineage: Eukaryota; Metazoa; Chordata; Actinopteri; Salmoniformes; Salmonidae
Description: lncRNA (ENSOKIG00005008264.1)
Source: RNAcentral